CAGCCGCCACGGGAAAACGGAGGGGGCUAGCGUUGUUCGGAAUUACUGGGCGUAAAGCGCACGUAGGCGGCUUGGUAAGUUAGAGGUGAAAGCCUGGAGCUCAACUCCAGAAUUGCCUUUAAGACUGCCGAGCUAGCAGGUGAGAGAGGUGAGUGGAAUUCCGAGUGUAGAGGUGAAAUUCGUAGAUAUUCGGAAGAACACCAGUGGCGAAGGCGGCUCACUGGACCGACACUGACGCUGAGGCGCGAAAGCGUGGGGAGCAAACAGGAUUAGAUACCCGAGUAGUCCCUGUCUCUUAUAC
Molecule: ribosomal RNA, 301 nt
Filed under: uncultured bacterium
Lineage: Bacteria
Description: partial 16S ribosomal RNA
Rfam family: Bacterial small subunit ribosomal RNA
Source: RNAcentral